AGGAGUGUAGUUUAUUUAUAAAUGUUAAAUUGUAAAUUUAGAGAAGGGUCUCCUGG
RNAcentral lists this transfer RNA (56 nucleotides) under Ascaridia sp. GHL-2013. RNAcentral describes it as "tRNA-Tyr". The record is from RNAcentral. Lineage: Eukaryota; Metazoa; Nematoda; Chromadorea; Rhabditida; Ascaridiidae.